GCCCGAGCCCCUCGGUGAUCAGCGAAGGGCGAGACGAACCCGAGAGCAGCUGGAUGAGGAGCAGGAGCGGAGGGUCCGCCUGCAGCUCUACGUCUUCGUGGUCGAUGCAUCGCGUCCCCUUCAACGCCAAGCAGCCCACAGACAUGCCCCGGAGGCAGCAGAAGGGGAUGUGAAAAGAAUGCUCAGGCUCUGCAUUUGAGCCAGAGCUCACUUAAAAGGAAGAUGCUUGGCUAUGGCUAUGGAGGAAAGGUUGUCCCAAGAUCACUUCAAAUCACAAAACAUCCUGAAACCAGAAGUUGGACAUCGCCGUACAAUAUAUGAAUACUAGAGGCCCGGUGCAUGAAAUUCAUUAAUGGGAGGGUAGGGGGCGUUCCUCAGUCUGGCCUGCACCCUCUCCAAUCCAGGACCCCUCAGGGAAUGUUCGACUGCCAGUUUAGGCCCAAUCCUAGUCAGACAUCCCUCUCACAAUACAGGACCACUGGCUCCUAACCGCUCACCUGCCUGCCUGCCAGCCUGCCUGAUCGCUCCUAAACACCUCCAACUGCCUGCCUGGUUAACCCUAACUGCCUCUGCCUGACAACAUGAUCGCCCCCAACCACCUCUGCCUUGGCCCCCACCAAGGAGGACCAGAUGGCAGGAGAUAUCUGGUUGACCUGGUCUAAUUAGCAUAUUACCCUUUUAUUAAUAUAGACUAGUGGCCCAGUAUUCAAA
Molecule: long non-coding RNA, 711 nt
Organism: Myotis lucifugus (little brown bat)
Lineage: Eukaryota; Metazoa; Chordata; Mammalia; Chiroptera; Vespertilionidae
Exons: 3
Source: RefSeq, a predicted model, not a curated record